Molecule: long non-coding RNA, 509 nt
Filed under: Mus spicilegus (steppe mouse)
Lineage: Eukaryota; Metazoa; Chordata; Mammalia; Rodentia; Muridae
Description: lncRNA (ENSMSIG00000014890.1)
Source: RNAcentral
CAGGGAAGAUGCUCUGGCCAGCGCACUCGGGAGGCGGGACCUUGGCAGCCGGUUCCUGCUGCUUCUCCAUAACGCAGCAGCUCGAAGCUCUGUGGUCCAGGGACCCAGGCUCUGACUAACCGGCCGCUGCUGCGCUGCAGGACUCAAGUGCACCUCCUCCCGCCGCCGCGCACCUAUCACAGUCCCUAAGCGCAUUGCCGCGCGCUCCUCCCACUUGCAAAUGCCAGUCCAGCUUGCGGCUGCCCUGGCCUGGACAGAGCCUUUGGGCCGCCUGCGUCCCCUGCCCUGUCCCUUCUCAGCUCCAGCAGGACGACGGCUCAUCUGUUGCUGUCCUCUGACCCAUCUCCCAGAUGACUCACUGACUGAAGCUUUUCCUUCCUCCUGCAGUAUGCUAAGGCAAAGCCACGCUUGGCAGGGAACUCUUGUCAAAAGACUUAACAAGCUUCACACUGAAUUACCAAAGGCAACUUCUUUGUUUAUGAUCUUUCCUUCAAGGAAAUCAACACGCA